This 1062-nucleotide long non-coding RNA is filed under the name Macaca fascicularis (crab-eating macaque). RNAcentral's name for it is "lncRNA (ENSMFAG00000047911.1)". The record is from RNAcentral. Lineage: Eukaryota; Metazoa; Chordata; Mammalia; Primates; Cercopithecidae.
GUGUUCCACUCCACUCUGUAUAGACAUCUGCCCUGACUGAAUGUGUUCUGUCACUCAGCUUUGCUUCUGACACCUCGGUUUCCUCUUCCCCUUUCUCCUCGUAUGUGUGUUUACCUAAACUAUAUACCAUAAACCUCAAGUUAUUCAUUUUAUUUUGUUUUCAUUUUGGGGUGAAGAUUCAGUUUCAGUCUUUUGGAUAUAGAUUUCCAGUUAAGUACAUGGUCAAGUAUUAACAGCACAAGUGAUAGGUUAACGUUAGAAUAGGAAUUGGUGUUGGGGGGGUUGCAAGAAUAUUUUAUUUUAAUUUUUUGGAUGAAAUUUUUAUCUAUUAUAUAUUAAACAUUCUUGCUGCUGCGCUGCAAAGCCAUAGCAGAUUUGAGGCGCUGUUGAGGACUGAAUUAUUCUCCAAGUUGGGAGAUGUCCUUGGGUUAAAUUAAAAGCCCUGCCUAAAACUGAGGUGGGGAUGGGAGAGCCUUGCCUCCACCAUUCCCACCCCAUCCUCCCCUUAAACCCUCUGCCUUUGAAAGCAGAUCAUGUUCACUGCGAUGCUGGACACUACAGGUAUCUGUUCCUGGGCCAGCAGGGACCUCUGAAGCCUUCUUUGUGGCCUGGAUUAUUUUUUUGUUUUUAUUUUUUUUCGUCCUGUGGUUUUUCUAAUGGACUUUCAGGAAUUUUGUAAUCUAAUAACUUUCCAAGCUCCACCACUCCCUAAAUCUUAAGAACUUUAAUUGACAGUUUCAAUUGAAGGUGCUGUUUGUAGACUUAACACCCAGUGAAAGCCCAGCCAUCAUGACAAAUCCUUGAAUGUUCUCUUAAGAAAAUGAUGCUGGUCAUCGCAGCUUCAGCAUCUCCUGUUUUUUGAUGCUUGGCUCCCUCUGCUGAUCUCAGAGUUUCCUGGCUUUUCCUCCCUCAGCCCCUUCUCACCCCUUUGCUGUCCUGUGUAGUGAUUUGGUGAGAGAAAUCGUUGCUGCCCCCUCCCCCCAGCACCAUAUAUGAGUCUCAAGUUUUAUUAUUGCAAUAAAAGUGCUUUAUGCCGGCUUUUCUCAAAAAAAAAAAAAAAAA